This 69-nucleotide transfer RNA is filed under the name Marmota monax (woodchuck). Its description in RNAcentral is "tRNA.Ala". The record is from RNAcentral. Lineage: Eukaryota; Metazoa; Chordata; Mammalia; Rodentia; Sciuridae.
GUGUGUGUUUCAGCGGUAGAGCAUUCCCCUAGCAUGGGCGAGGCCCUUUGUUCAAUCCUCAGCACCACA